AUUGAACGCUGGCGGCAGGCCUAACACAUGCAAGUCGAACGAACUCUUCGGAGUUAGUGGCGGACGGGUGAGUAACACGCGGGAACGUGCCUUUAGGUUCGGAAUAACUCAGGGAAACUUGUGCUAAUACCGAAUGUGCCCUUCGGGGGAAAGAUUUAUCGCCUUUAGAGCGGCCCGCGUCUGAUUAGCUAGUUGGUGAGGUAACGGCUCACCAAGGCGACGAUCAGUAGCUGGUCUGAGAGGAUGGCCAGCCACACUGGGACUGAGACACGGCCCAGACUCCUACGGGAGGCAGCAGUGGGGAAUCUUGCGCAAUGGGCGAAAGCCUGACGCAGCCAUGCCGCGUGAAUGAUGAAGGUCUUAGGAUUGUAAAAUUCUUUCACCGGGGACGAUAAUGACGGUACCCGGAGAAGAAGCCCCGGCUAACUUCGUGCCAGCAGCCGCGGUAA
RNAcentral lists this ribosomal RNA (449 nucleotides) under uncultured bacterium. RNAcentral describes it as "partial 16S ribosomal RNA". It matches the Rfam family "Bacterial small subunit ribosomal RNA", at positions 30 to 523 of the family's 1533-position model. The record is from RNAcentral.